Molecule: small RNA, 28 nt
Filed under: Bombyx mori (domestic silkworm)
Lineage: Eukaryota; Metazoa; Arthropoda; Insecta; Lepidoptera; Bombycidae
Description: ovarian small RNA-16456
Source: RNAcentral
GCAGAAAUCAUCAAUGCCCUGAAGGAGC